This 467-nucleotide ribosomal RNA is filed under the name uncultured bacterium. RNAcentral describes it as "partial 16S ribosomal RNA". It matches the Rfam family "Bacterial small subunit ribosomal RNA", at positions 28 to 506 of the family's 1533-position model. The record is from RNAcentral.
GACGAACGCUGGCGGCGUGCUUAACACAUGCAAGUCGAACGGAAAGGCCCUGCUUUUGUGGGGUGCUCGAGUGGCGAACGGGUGAGUAACACGUGAGUAACCUGCCCUUGACUUUGGGAUAACUUCAGGAAACUGGGGCUAAUACCGGAUAGGAGCUCCUGCUGCAUGGUGGGGGUUGGAAAGUUUCGGCGGUUGGGGAUGGACUCGCGGCUUAUCAGCUUGUUGGUGGGGUAGUGGCUUACCAAGGCUUUGACGGGUAGCCGGCCUGAGAGGGUGACCGGCCACAUUGGGACUGAGAUACGGCCCAGACUCCUACGGGAGGCAGCAGUGGGGAAUAUUGCACAAUGGGCGGAAGCCUGAUGCAGCAACGCCGCGUGCGGGAUGACGGCCUUCGGGUUGUAAACCGAUUUCGCCUGUGACGAAGCGUGAGUGACGGUAGUGGGGAAAGAAGCACCGGCUAACUACGU